GACGAACGCUGGCGGCGUGCUUAACACAUGCAAGUCGAACGGAAAGGCCCUGCUUUUGUGGGGUGCUCGAGUGGCGAACGGGUGAGUAACACGUGAGUAACCUGCCCUUGCCUUUGGGAUAACUUCAGGAAACUGGGGCUAAUACCGGAUAGGAGCUCCUGCUGCAUGGUGGGGGUUGGAAAGUUUCGGCGGUUGGGGAUGGACUGGCGGCUUAUCAGCUUGUUGGUGGGGUAGUGGCUUACCAAGGCUUUGACGGGUAGCCGGCCUGAGAGGGUGACCGGCCACAUUGGGACUGAGAUACGGCCCAGACUCCUACGGGAGGCAGAAGUGGGGAAUAUUGCACAAUGGGCGGAAGCCUGAUGCAGCAACGCCGCGUGCGGGAUGACGGCCUUCGGGUUGUAAACCGCUUUCGCCUGAGACGAAGCGUGAGUGACGGUAAUGGGUAAAGAAGCACCGGCUAACUACGUG
Molecule: ribosomal RNA, 468 nt
Filed under: uncultured bacterium
Lineage: Bacteria
Description: partial 16S ribosomal RNA
Rfam family: Bacterial small subunit ribosomal RNA
Source: RNAcentral